This 482-nucleotide ribosomal RNA is filed under the name Veillonella parvula. RNAcentral describes it as "bacterial SSU rRNA". It matches the Rfam family "Bacterial small subunit ribosomal RNA", at positions 28 to 479 of the family's 1533-position model. Lineage: Bacteria; Bacillati; Bacillota; Negativicutes; Veillonellales; Veillonellaceae. The record is from RNAcentral.
GACGAACGCUGGCGGCGUGCUUAACACAUGCAAGUCGAACGAAGAGCGAUGGAAGCUUGCUUCUAUCAAUCUUAGUGGCGAACGGGUGAGUAACGCGUAAUCAACCUGCCCUUCAGAGGGGGACAACAGUUGGAAACGACUGCUAAUACCGCAUACGAUCUAAUCUCGGCAUCGAGGAUAGAUGAAAGGUGGCCUCUACAUGUAAGCUAUCACUGAAGGAGGGGAUUGCGUCUGAUUAGCUAGUUGGAGGGGUAACGGCCCACCAAGGCGAUGAUCAGUAGCCGGUCUGAGAGGAUGAACGGCCACAUUGGGACUGAGACACGGCCCAGACUCCUACGGGAGGCAGCAGUGGGGAAUCUUCCGCAAUGGACGAAAGUCUGACGGAGCAACGCCGCGUGAGUGAUGACGGCCUUCGGGUUGUAAAGCUCUGUUAAUCGGGACGAAAGGCCUUCUUGCGAAUAGUUAGAAGGAUUGACGGUACC